Molecule: non-coding RNA, 24 nt
Filed under: Mus musculus (house mouse)
Lineage: Eukaryota; Metazoa; Chordata; Mammalia; Rodentia; Muridae
Also listed under: 1 other name
Source: RNAcentral
GGGCCUAUAGCUCAGUUGGUUAGA